Molecule: ribosomal RNA, 809 nt
Filed under: uncultured archaeon
Lineage: Archaea
Description: bacterial SSU rRNA
Rfam family: Archaeal small subunit ribosomal RNA
Source: RNAcentral
ACGGCUCAGUAACACGUGGCUAACCUGCCCUUAGGACGAGAACAACCCCGGGAAACUGGGGCUAACUCUCGAUAGGCGAAGAACUCUGGAAUGAGUCUUUACCUAAAAAGAUUCACGUUAUCCUCGUGAACCUGCCUAAGGAUGAGGCCGCGACCGAUCAGGUUGUUGGCGAGGUAAUGGCUCACCAAGCCUUUUACCGGUGCGGGCCGUGGGAGCGGGAGCCCGGAGAUGGGUACUGAGACAAGGACCCAGGCCCUACGGGGCGCAGCAGUCGCGAAACCUUUGCAAUAAGCGAAAGCUUGACAGGGCUAUCCCGAGUGCCAUCCGCUGAGGAAGGCUUUUACCCAGUCUAGAACGCUGGGGGAAUAGGGAGAGGGCAAGUCUGGUGUCAGCCGCCGCGGUAAUACCAGCUCUCCGAGUGGUGUGGAUGUUUAUUGGGCCUAAAGCAUCCGUAGCUGGCUAAGUUAGUCCCUUGUUAAAUCCACCGAAUUAAUCGUUGGAUCGCGGGGGAUACUGCUUGGCUAGGGGACGAGAGAGGCAGACGGUAUUUUCGGGGUAGGGGUGAAAUCCUAUAAUCCCGGGAAGACCACCAGUGGCGAAGGCUGUCUGCUAGAACGCGCCCGACGGUGAGGGAUGAAAGCUGGGGGAGCGAACCGGAUUAGAUACCCGGGUAGUCCCAGCUGUAAACGAUGCAGACUAGGUGUUUGGACGGCCACGUGCCGUUCUAGUGCCGCAGGGAAGCUGUUAAGUCUGCCGCCUGGGGAGUACGAUCGCAAGAUUGAAACUUAAAGGAAUUGGCGGGGGAGCAC